Molecule: RNA transcript, 1327 nt
Organism: Vespula pensylvanica (western yellowjacket)
Lineage: Eukaryota; Metazoa; Arthropoda; Insecta; Hymenoptera; Vespidae
Exons: 6
Source: RefSeq, a predicted model, not a curated record
AUAUAUCUCGAAUUUUAUAUUUAGUAAAUUUCAGGCAAAAGUUAACAUUUAUCAUAUAUUUUAAUCACUAUUAACCAAUUUAAUGUUUUAAAAGUCUACAUUAGCUCACUAAUUUUGUCAAUAAUUUAAAUUACGUCGUCAUAAAAGUAUUAAAUUAAUCACAAAGGAAAUAUGAAUAACGAAUUAUUUUUUGAACGAGGUUAUUAAAAGUAGAAUGACGGAAGUAAGUAAUAGGUGUAUGAGAGAGUUUGAGCUUCAGGAAGAAGAAUGUCUUAAGGAUAUAUUAUUUGUCGAUGGAAAUGAAGCGGAUUGCGACGAAGAUAAAAAUAAUUUAAUAGAGCAGGUCUGGUGGCUUUCUAAACCGCCUGUAGUUAAAGAGCAGGUACCUGCUAUAUCGGCAAGACAAAUACAAAUUGUAAAAGAACGACUGUCACCUAUGAUAAAAAAACCGCGGGGACUAACUGAAACCUUACGGGAUAAAAUCAAAGAGAAUUUAAAACAUCAAAACCGAUACAUAACAGAAUCUUAAAGUGAUGUUUAGCUAUCAACCAAAAUUAAUAAACAGCAAUAAUACUCAUAUUGAUGACGUUCUGCAAAACAAUAUAAAGUGUUGUAACCUCUGCCCAUUGACAAAGGAUCAGGAAAAAUACGAUAGGGUAAUCUGUAUAACAUAUUUACACUCUUAAUAUAUACGUAUGUGCGGCAUAGUUAUUAGUACAGUGAUGAUGAUUGCCAAUCGUUCUUAUAACGACAUUAGACCCGAGCAUGUGAAAUGGACGAAAACAUAUUUCCAAAAUUUAAAAGGGGAAGAUGAUUAUCCGCAUAAUAUUGCCAGGAUUUUACAAAUUUUGGAAGAUCUUAAAAAAGCUAACUUGAUUGAACAUACGGAAGUAAAAAAUAACAUAGAACUAAACGAAGAUGAUAUCCUUAUAAGCGAACUUAUUAACUGAUGCAUUCAUGAAUGUUAUUAAUCUCAUUAUAUCCUCAAUAAAUCUUAUCAGUUUUAUUAGUUUUACUAUAGAUAAUAGAUAAUAUUAGUAAAUAAAUAAUAAUUUUUAGUUUUAAACAUUUCAUAUAGUUCGACUUUGUAUUGUUUAAACUAUGUGAUUUGUGCGCGAUCUCUUUAAUAGAUGAAUAUGACUAAUAAGAAAAAUAAUUGAAACAUUAUACACAAAAAUGUUAUAAUAUUAUUAUGAAUAUAUAAACAUUUUAAGGUUAAAUUAAUUUAAAAAUUGUCAAAAGGAUAAAUUUUAGUAUACAUUGGAAAAAAUUAAAAUGGACGAGCAAAAUGACGCUACAGACGCAGAAAUUUCUAUCACCCCUCAGG